Molecule: ribosomal RNA, 443 nt
Filed under: uncultured bacterium
Lineage: Bacteria
Description: SSU rRNA
Rfam family: Bacterial small subunit ribosomal RNA
Source: RNAcentral
AGAACGAACGCUGGCGGCAGGCUUAACACAUGCAAGUCGAACGCCCCGCAAGGGGAGUGGCAGACGGGUGAGUAACGCGUGGGAAUCUACCUGGUUCUGCGGAAUAACACAGGGAAACUUGUGCUAAUACCGCAUACGCCCUACGGGGGAAAGAUUUAUCGGUGCCAGAUGAGCCCGCGUUGGAUUAGCUAGUUGGUGGGGUAAUGGCCUACCAAGGCGACGAUCCAUAGCUGGUCUGAGAGGAUGAUCAGCCACACUGGGACUGAGACACGGCCCAGACUCCUACGGGAGGCAGCAGUGGGGAAUAUUGGACAAUGGGCGAAAGCCUGAUCCAGCCAUGCCGCGUGAGUGAUGAAGGCCUUAGGGUUGUAAAGCUCUUUCAGUAGGGAAGAUAAUGACGGUACCUACAGAAGAAGCCCGGCUAACUUCGUGCCAGCAGCCGC